This 175-nucleotide ribosomal RNA is filed under the name uncultured soil bacterium. RNAcentral describes it as "partial 16S ribosomal RNA". It matches the Rfam family "Bacterial small subunit ribosomal RNA", at positions 335 to 524 of the family's 1533-position model. The record is from RNAcentral.
ACUCCUACGGGAGGCAGCAGUGGGGAAUAUUGGGCAAUGGGCGAAAGCCUGACCCAGCGACGCCGCGUGAGGGAAGAAGGUCUUCGGAUUGUAAACCUCUCUCAGCAGGGAAGAAGAAAGUGACGGUACCUGCAGAAGAAGCCACGGCUAACUACGUGCCAGCAGCCGCGGUAAU